GACGAACGCUGGCGGCGUGCUUAACACAUGCAAGUCGAACGGAAAGGCCCUGCUUUUGUGGGGUGCUCGAGUGGCGAACGGGUGAGUAACACGUGAGUAACCUGCCCUUGACUUUGGGAUAACUUCAGGAAACUGGGGCUAAUACCGGAUAGGAGCUCCUGCUGCAUGGUGGGGGUUGGAAAGUUUCGGCGGUUGGGGAUGGACUCGCGGCUUAGCAGCUUGUUGGUGGGGUAGUGGCUUACCAAGGCUUUGACGGGUAGCCGGCCUGAGAGGGUGUCCGGCCACAUUGGGACUGAGAUACGGCCCAGACUCCUACGGGAGGCAGCAGUGGGGAAUAUUGCACAAUGGGCGGAAGCCUGAUGCAGCAACGCCGCGUGCGGGAUGACGGCCUUCGGGUUGUAAACCGCUUUCGCCUGUGACGGAGCGUGAGUGACGGUAAUGGGUAAAGAAGCACCGGCUAACUACGUG
This 468-nucleotide ribosomal RNA is filed under the name uncultured bacterium. RNAcentral's name for it is "partial 16S ribosomal RNA". It matches the Rfam family "Bacterial small subunit ribosomal RNA", at positions 28 to 507 of the family's 1533-position model. The record is from RNAcentral.